Molecule: long non-coding RNA, 436 nt
Filed under: Eucalyptus grandis
Lineage: Eukaryota; Viridiplantae; Streptophyta; Magnoliopsida; Myrtales; Myrtaceae
Description: long non-coding RNA (EGRA_LNC003364)
Source: RNAcentral
AGCGAUCAAUCGACUCGGCCGAUUACAUGUCAUUCCAACAAAUCAAUCAUUGCUCACAAUCACGCCCUACUCGGCAAAAUUAGAAUCAGUGGCAUCACGGCCCCACUCGGCACGACCUUUAACAGGUAGCAUAUCAUGGCCCCACUGGGCGCGACCUUUAUCAGGUGGCAUAUCACGGCCCCAUUGGGCGCGACCUCUAAUAGGUGGCAUAUAACGGCCCCACUGGGCGCGACCUCUAAUAGGUGGCAUAUAACGGCCCCACUGGGCGCGACCUCUAAUAGGUGGCAUAUAACGGCCCCACUGGGCGCGACCUCUAAUAGGUGGCAUAUCACGGCCAAUCGCCCAUCAAUUUCCACACUUAGAAUUUUAUAAAGAAUCCAUAUUUAUCACAAUCAACACUCAAUUCGCCACAUCCAUUCAUCAAAUUCAAAUUCUA